Molecule: ribosomal RNA, 487 nt
Filed under: uncultured bacterium
Lineage: Bacteria
Description: bacterial SSU rRNA
Rfam family: Bacterial small subunit ribosomal RNA
Source: RNAcentral
GCUUAACACAUGCAAGUCGUACGAGAACUCUUCUGCUUGCAGAAGAUAGUAAAGUGGCGCACGGGUGAGUAACGCGUGGGUAAUCUACCUCUGAAUCGGGGAUAACUCCGCGAAAGCGGAGCUAAUACCGGAUAAUAUCUUUUUACUUAGGCAAAAAAAUCAAAGGUGGUCUCUACAUGUAAGCUACUGUUUGGAGAUGAGCCCGCGUACCAUUAGCUUGUUGGUGGGGUAAUGGCCUACCAAGGCUGCGAUGGUUAGCUGGUCUGAGAGGAUGAUCAGCCACACUGGAACUGACACACGGUCCAGACUCCUACGGGAGGCAGCAGUGAGGAAUUUUGCGCAAUGGGGGAAACCCUGACGCAGCAACGCCGCGUGAGUGAUGAAGGCCCUCGGGUCGUAAAGCUCUGUCAAGUGGGAAGAAAAUGCUUGAUGUUAAUACCAUCUUGCACUGACGGUACCACUGAAGGAAGCACCGGCUAACUCCGUG